This is a non-coding RNA of Paramisgurnus dabryanus, 1994 nucleotides long. The record is from RefSeq and is a predicted model, not a curated record. Lineage: Eukaryota; Metazoa; Chordata; Actinopteri; Cypriniformes; Cobitidae.
AACAGAAAUGUAGAAUGACAGUCGCUCAAUCUGUUGCAAGCAAUGACUUUCAAACAGCAAGUGCUAAAGAAGCCAAACACGCAGAAUUACAAGUCCAACGCUGAAACUGCUGGAAAAGAACAGUGAAAAAGAUACAGGUCUUCAUUCUUGAUGGGAUUCAGAAACUGAACUACUGUGUCUUCACAGACAAAUAAUCCAAAAUCAGCCUAAGAGUGUGGAGUAAACAGCAUCAAGCCUCUCUUUAAUAGGGAACUCAUCUAUAAAAACAAACACUUGUUAUACUUUUAUGAAUUAUCAAGUUGUACAACACACAGCAAUAAGGAUUUAGACAAACAAUCACAGAUUUUAUUAAUUUUAUUGUUGUGUCUAAUAUAUAUAGAAACAACUUGUGUUGUAAAAGAAAGGAUGACAGCAUAUCUCUUUAUCACGUGCCAGUAUAGGCCCUGACUGCACGUGAGAACAUUUGAAUUAUCUGGCACGAGGUCUCACACGUCAUACUUCAACUGACACAACGGUCUCGAUGGUAGGAAUAAGCAAAAGCUCCUUUAAAUUUCGUCAUUUUUUUUAUACACAUCCCGUUUAUUUUGUAGUUAAUUGUUAGAUAAGUUAGUAAUUUCGUAAAUUUUUCGUUACAGGGUAAGAUUUCGUUACCAUAUACAGUAAAUAUUGGUUCAAGAGGGCAGUUUGAUAACUCAGUCGAGGUUUGUAAAUGGUAAAUAACUUAUUCGAGGUUUGUAGCCAUAUUUAAGUAACUCGCUUACUUUGUUUCAGUGUUUGAGUAAAUGUAUAAUGUUAUUAAGUAAUAAUUAAUAUAAGUUACUGCGCGAGCUCAUUACGGCCGUUUCUCAAUCCGAAGGCUACUGGAGGUGGCAUUUGUAGGCUGUAUACGUCAUCAAGACUGUCAGAUUUAAGAAUAUUAACAAUUCUAAAGUUGACUAUUAUUCUUAGUUAAUCGUAAAUUGUUGUAAUAUGCGUAUGACUUGCGAAUGUAAUGCUCAUUUAACUUAAAUAAACCAGGCUUGAUGACGUAUGCAGCCUGCAUAUGCGACCUCCGCAGGAUGCAGCCUUCCGUUUCAGAAACGGCCUACAAGUGUGAGCGUGCGCGAGAUUCUGUCUGAAUUGAUUCAUUAGUAAUGGCAAAGCAAAAAUUUACUGUCGUGGUGAUUAAACGCAUUUUAAAGUUUAAAUUAAAACGCCUAACUUACCUUUCCAGGGGUUUCUGUUCCUGCAGUCUUUCAGGGGUGCUGGCGCGUAUGACGAUGCGGACAUGAACAGCAUACUACAGUAUACCGCCACCUACUGUACUGUAGUACAAUAACGUCUUUUAAACAUCUAAACAUGUCCUCCAAAAAGGUUUCCUGUGCUGUUUUGCUCCAUUUUACUGAACAAAAUAAGGCUGAGGUACCACCAUCCUUGUGGUUAGAGUGAAAGAAUGUGGGUAUUGAGACCAAAAUAAACAAUGUGCCAUUCUGGACAAACAGCUGUGGACAAUAUGCAGUCAGAGUAGCCCAUUUUCUCACACAGACCUGAAGAUAAGAUUUCCAGUUUAAAAGUGAAGAAAAUGAAUCAUUAUUAACAGCAAAUAGGAGUAUUUCUCAGCUGAAAAGCCAGGUGAAACUAUAAGGUCACUAUGAUUCACUUUCAUAUUAUCAUUCUUUUCAGAUUUUUUUCCCUGUGUUUUUUUUGUUAGAUGAGGAGCAACCAGUAAGAAAAAGCAAAAAGAUGUUUUGAUGUUGCCUGAGGCACCUUAUUUUCCAUUUCAUGCACAAUCACAAAUGCAGCACAUCAAUCAAUUUCUUCCAACCAGCGAAUCAAGAAAUCUUGGAGUGGAGAAUCAUUCUGAAAGUAGACCAAAUCCAGGACAACAUCACAACAGUGGUCGGAAAAAUGCAGCAAGCCAAGCUGACUUUCAAAAGAUGAUUCGUUAUCUGUUUCUUCAGAGGGGAGGCAGUUUGGGAGAUGGGAAUUAGGAGGAUGCUACAGCUACACAGGGC